UUCUCUGCGUGAUAGGGAGUGGAAGGAAAAGACUUUAAGGAGUAGCUGCACUGCUGAGGACAAGUUUGGGGCUCUGUUUGCUGAAGGUGUUGAAUAAAUCACUAUGAUCUCCAGUCCCAUGGGAGACCACAAUGGAGAAGACAGCCAUGGAAACUUAGACCUGAAUUUAACUCUGGCGACCAGAGCUUUGAGAAUGUGGGCUAUGUAUUACCAAAUCUUUAUCAUUUUGAGAUCUGAGAGUCAGAAGAUACCAGGCACCUUUGAAUAGACAGAGUAGAUGUGUUGUGCCAAAGCUGAGAAGACCUUUCCAGAUCGAUAUCUCCUUGCACCUACAUCUUACAGAACGUGGAUUUCAGAACAUGGUGUCGGGACAUCCCAGGUCUGUGAGGAGAGGGCAGUGGCUGGCAAGGCUGCCCCAUGUUACACAGAUUGACCAAACAUAGCUGAGUGCUGGGCCUGCCUACCUCAAAGGUGACCUUGAGGUUUGUUGAAGAUGCCUCUGGUAAGUUUAAGCAGACAAAUUACUUCAUGUGGUUGCUAGUAUAAUGACAGGCUUAGAACAAGAAAAUGCGGGAGUGCACUUGAAAUGAAUGCUUUGCUCUGGGGAGAAAAGUGCUUUGAACAGUUGUAUGAAGUGUAAAUGACUUGGGGAAUUGGAGGAUCCAUAGGUGACUUGGAGUGUGGUUUUCUGUUGGGAUUUCUGUCAAACCUGUUAAUUUUGUAAUUCUUUUGACUCUUGCUGAAAGCAGCCUGAGAGGGAAAUAGCAACAAUUUUCCAUGAAAUGUGACAUUCUGAAAUAUCAAGUUGUUAGUUGAAACACAUGAUUUGCAUGAAAGGUAUAAUUCCUCUGCCACUUCUCUCAUAAAAAUGUCAUAGAAAUUUAAUUGCAAAAGUAUUAGCAGCUAAGAGCUGGAAUCAAAAAUCUUGGGGUGCAGCAGAGGGGGAAGGACGAUUCUUUCUGUAGGCCGUUUACACAAUAUAUAGCACCUUCUGUCUGCAGGUCUGGUUUCUGUCAUAUGAGCCCUGCUAAAACAAAAUCAGCUGUUUCUAUUUGAUCUCU
Molecule: long non-coding RNA, 1061 nt
Organism: Anas platyrhynchos (mallard)
Lineage: Eukaryota; Metazoa; Chordata; Aves; Anseriformes; Anatidae
Source: RefSeq, a predicted model, not a curated record